Molecule: ribosomal RNA, 503 nt
Filed under: uncultured bacterium
Lineage: Bacteria
Description: partial 16S ribosomal RNA
Rfam family: Bacterial small subunit ribosomal RNA
Source: RNAcentral
GAUGAACGCUAGCGGCAGGCUUAAUACAUGCAAGCCGAGGGGCAGCAGUUUUGUAGCAAUACAGAAGCUGGCGACCGGCAAACGGGUGCGGAACACGUACGCAACCUUCCUUUAACUGGGAGAUAGCCCACCGAAAGGUGGAUUAAUAUCCCAUAAUAUAACUGAAUGGCAUCAUUUAGAUAUUAAAGCUCCGGCGGUUAAAGAUGGGCGUGCGUCUGAUUAGGUAGUUGGCGGGGUAACGGCCCACCAAGCCUUCGAUCAGUAGCUGAUGUGGAGGCACGAUCAGCAACACGGGCACGGCAACACGGGCCCGAGUCCUACGGGAGGCAGCAGUAAGGAAUAUGGGUCGAUGGACGUAAGUCUGAACCAGCCAUGCCGCGUGGAGGAUGAAGGCCCUCUGGGUUGUAAACUUCUUUUCUUUGGGACGAAACCCCUGUUUCUACGGGGACUGACGGUACCAGAGGAAUAAGCACCGGCUAACUCCGUGCCAGCCGCCGCCGUAA